RNAcentral lists this ribosomal RNA (717 nucleotides) under Triticum aestivum (bread wheat). RNAcentral describes it as "partial small subunit ribosomal RNA". Lineage: Eukaryota; Viridiplantae; Streptophyta; Magnoliopsida; Poales; Poaceae. The record is from RNAcentral.
AUGGCCUUCAUCCAACCACAAAAGUGGCUCAACUGGUUAUCCCUAGCAGAAUGGUGGUACAAUACUAGCUACCACACAGCCCUCAAGAUCACCCCCUUCCAGGCCCUGUAUGGCAGACCUCCUCAUAUGCUAGCUGAAUCUGCUCUUUAUCCUGUGGAAGAAUUGGAACAGUUCCCUGAUGUACUCACUGCUGAACAAACCGCAGCACAUAUUAAGGAAAAUCUCCUGAGGGCUCAAGCCAGAAUGAAACAUUACGCUGACAAGAAGAGAUCUGAGAGAACCUUGGAAGUGGGUGACAUGGUCUACCUGAAACUACAACCUUACAGGCAUACCACUCUCAGCAUCCAUAGAUGUCUCAAGCUGCAUUCCAAAUUUUAUGGCCCAUUCAGAAUUAUCCAGAAAGUUGGUCCAGUGGCUUACAAGCUCCUUCUUCCUGACGACUGCAGACUUCAUGAUACUUUUCAUGUGAGCCAGCUCAAGAAGCAUAUUGGCCUAAUGGCGAUUCCAAACCCCAAGCUCCCCUUGCUCAAUCCGGAUGGAACAAUCUUACUGGAACCAGAACAACUGCUCGAACGCAAACUGGUACCGCGUGUGCAAGGCAACAUCAGUAUUCCCAUGGUUCGAUGGCUCAUAAAAUGGAGUAAUCUACCGCUGGAGGAGGCCACUUGGGAGGACACCACAUUCAUACAAAAAGUGUUUCCUAAUUUCCAACCCUGA